RNAcentral lists this ribosomal RNA (527 nucleotides) under uncultured Actinomycetes bacterium. RNAcentral's name for it is "bacterial SSU rRNA". It matches the Rfam family "Bacterial small subunit ribosomal RNA", at positions 8 to 522 of the family's 1533-position model. Lineage: Bacteria; Bacillati; Actinomycetota; Actinomycetes. The record is from RNAcentral.
AGAGUUUGAUCAUGGCUCAGGACGAACGCUGGCGGCGCGCUUAACACAUGCAAGUCGAGCGAGAACCUAGGCUUCGGCCUAGGGGACAGCGGCGAACGGGUGAGUAACACGUGGGUAAUCUGCCCUCGACAUCGGGAUAGCCCGGGGAAACCCGGAUUAAUACCGAAUAGCCCAUCCGCUUUUCGGAGCGGCUGGAAAAGGUAGCUUUGGCCUCCGGUCGAGGAGGAGCCCGCGGCGGAUUAGCUUGUUGGUGAGGUAACGGCCCACCAAGGCGACGAUCCGUAGCUGGUCUGAGAGGACGAUCAGCCACACUGGGACUGAGACACGGCCCAGACUCCUACGGGAGGCAGCAGUGGGGAAUCUUGCGCAAUGGGCGAAAGCCUGACGCAGCGACGCCGCGUGCGGGAAGAAGGCCUUCGGGUUGUAAACCGCUUUCAGGAGGGACGAAGCCACUCAGGUUAAUAGCCGAGAGGGUGACGGUACCUCCAGAAGAAGCCCCGGCUAACUACGUGCCAGCAGCCGCGGUA